This 448-nucleotide ribosomal RNA is filed under the name uncultured bacterium. Its description in RNAcentral is "bacterial SSU rRNA". It matches the Rfam family "Bacterial small subunit ribosomal RNA", at positions 29 to 521 of the family's 1533-position model. The record is from RNAcentral.
AACGAACGCUGGCGGCAUGCCUAACACAUGCAAGUCGAACGAGACCUUCGGGUCUAGUGGCGCACGGGUGCGUAACGCGUGGGAAUCUGCCCUUGGGUUCGGAAUAACAGUUAGAAAUGACUGCUAAUACCGGAUAAUGUCUUCGGACCAAAGAUUUAUCGCCCAGGGAUGAGCCCCGCGUAGGAUUAGCUAGUUGGUGAGGUAAAGGCUCACCAAGGCGACGAUCCUUAGCUGGUCUGAGAGGAUGAUCAGCCACACUGGGACUGAGACACGGCCCAGACUCCUACGGGAGGCAGCAGUGGGAAUAUUGGACGAUGGGCGAAAGCCUGAUCCAGCAAUGCCGCGUGAGUGAUGAAGGCCUUAGGGUUGUAAAGCUCUUUUACCCGGGAUGAUAAUGACAGUACCGGGAGAAUAAGCCCCGGCUAACUCCGUGCCCAGCAGCCGCGGU